Molecule: long non-coding RNA, 487 nt
Organism: Mesocricetus auratus (golden hamster)
Lineage: Eukaryota; Metazoa; Chordata; Mammalia; Rodentia; Cricetidae
Exons: 3
Source: RefSeq, a predicted model, not a curated record
UUGUUUACUCCAGCCCUGCAGGGGCCCAGCUCCAUCUUGGAAUGGUGGCCACACCUCAUGGUUCCCUGCAUAUUUGGGGCAAAGCAGCAGCGGGACAGAGAGCUUGGUGUGUUGCCUGAUUACAAUCUAUCUUAGGCUGUCCCAGCAUCCUUGUGACCAACCUACCUUCAGAUGAAACUUUUUGGAAUGUAUUUAGUCAACCACAGCUUUCAACAACCCAGAAGCCUGCCCCUGUGUGACAGCGUGAUGAGAAAAGAACCAUCUGCAAUCCAGGAAGUAGAUUCUCAAGAGAUGCCAGAUAUGCAGGCAUUUUGACCUUGCUUUUCCCAGCCUCUAGGACUGUGAACAUUGGAUUUCUGUCAUUUAAUCCAUCCACUCUAUGGUGUUUUUCCUUUGACACCCAGAAUGGACCAAGGCAGUCAUGUUUCCUCAGGCCUCAUAAAACCCCUUGUAUCCAUCAGCGUAACUUGGGUGACACUUCAGUAAU